RNAcentral lists this ribosomal RNA (197 nucleotides) under uncultured bacterium. Its description in RNAcentral is "partial 16S ribosomal RNA". It matches the Rfam family "Bacterial small subunit ribosomal RNA", at positions 328 to 539 of the family's 1533-position model. The record is from RNAcentral.
ACGCUCGACACCUACGGGGGGCAGCAGUGGGGAAUAUUGCACAAUGGGGGAAACCCUGAUGCAGCGAUGCCGCGUGAAGGAAGAAGUAUCUCGGUAUGUAAACUUCUAUCAGCAGGGAANAAAUGACGGUACCUGACUAAGAAGCCCCGGCUAACUACGUGCCAGCAGCCGCGGUAAUCUGAGCGGGCUGGCAAGGC